CCUACGGGUGGCAGCAGUGAGGAAUAUUGGUCAAUGGGCGAGAGCCUGAACCAGCGAAGUCGCGUGAAGGAUGACGGCCCUACGGGUUGUAAACUUCUUUUGUCAGGGAGCAAUUGAGUCCUCGUUUGGUCUUAGCGAGAGUCCCUGAAGAAAACGCAUCCGCUAACUCCGUGCCAGCAGCCGCGGUAAUCCGGAGGAUGCGAGCGUUAUCCGGAUUUAUUUGGUUUAAAGGGUGCGUAGGCGGAAUAUCAAGUCAGCGGUAAAAAUUCGGGGCUCAACCCCGUCGUGCCGUUGAAACUGAUGUUCUUGAGUGGGCGAGAAGUAUGCGGAAGGCGUGGUGUAGCGGUGAAAUGCAUAGAUAUCACGAAGAACUCCGAUUGCGAAGGCAGCAUACCGGCGCCCAACUGACGCUGAAGCACGAAAGCGUGGGUAUCGAACAGGAUUAGAUACCCUAGUAGUC
This 460-nucleotide ribosomal RNA is filed under the name uncultured bacterium. Its description in RNAcentral is "partial 16S ribosomal RNA". It matches the Rfam family "Bacterial small subunit ribosomal RNA", at positions 338 to 795 of the family's 1533-position model. The record is from RNAcentral.